Molecule: transfer RNA, 71 nt
Filed under: Ornithorhynchus anatinus (platypus)
Lineage: Eukaryota; Metazoa; Chordata; Mammalia; Monotremata; Ornithorhynchidae
Rfam family: tRNA
About the family: Transfer RNA (tRNA) molecules are approximately 80 nucleotides in length. Their secondary structure includes four short double-helical elements and three loops (D, anti-codon, and T loops). Further hydrogen bonds mediate the characteristic L-shaped molecular structure. tRNAs have two regions of fundamental functional importance: the anti-codon, which is responsible for specific mRNA codon recognition, and the 3' end, to which the tRNAs corresponding amino acid is attached (by aminoacyl-tRNA synthetases). tRNAs cope with the degeneracy of the genetic code in two manners: having more than one tRNA (with a specific anti-codon) for a particular amino acid; and 'wobble' base-pairing, i.e. permitting non-standard base-pairing at the 3rd anti-codon position.
Source: Rfam by way of RNAcentral
AGCAGCGUGGCUGAAUGGAAAAAGCAUGGACCAAGUCUCCGAGGACCUGGGUUCUAAUCCUGGCUCUGCCA